This 405-nucleotide ribosomal RNA is filed under the name uncultured bacterium. Its description in RNAcentral is "bacterial SSU rRNA". It matches the Rfam family "Bacterial small subunit ribosomal RNA", at positions 32 to 429 of the family's 1533-position model. The record is from RNAcentral.
AAUCAACGCUGGCGGCGUGCCUCAGACAUGCAAGUCGAACGAUUAAACUUUCCUUCGGGAAAGAUAUAAAGUGGCGUACGGGUGAGUAACACGUAAGUAAUCUACCUUCGAGUGGGGAAUAACGUUCGGAAACGAACGCUAAUACCGCAUAAUGCAGCGGCAUCAUAUGAUGACAGUUGUUAAAGCAUUUAUGCGCUUGAAGAGGAGCUUGCGGCAGAUUAGCUAGUUGGUAAGGUAAUGGCUUACCAAGGCAAUGAUCUGUAUCCGGUCUAAGAGGACGGUCGGACACACUGACACUGAAUAACGGGUCAGACUCCUACGGAGGCAGCAGUCGGGAAUUUUGGGCAAUGGGCGAAAGCCUGACCCAGCAACGCCGCGUGAAGGAUGACGGCCCUGGUUCGUAAC